AUUGAACGCUGGCGGCAGGCCUAACACAUGCAAGUCGAACGAGUGGCGGACGGGUGAGUAAUUUCUGGGCAACUGCCUGAUGGAGGGGGAUCACUACUGGAAACGGUCGCUAAUACCGCAUACCCUCAGAUGUGCCCAGAUGGGAUUAGCUAGUUGGUGGGGUAACGGCUCACCAAGGCGACGAUCCCUAGCUGGUCUGAGAGGAUGACCAGCCACACUGGAACUGAGACACGGGCCAGACUCCUACGGGAGGCAGCAGUGGGGAAUAUUGCACAAUGGGCGCAAGCCUGAUGCAGCCAUGCCGCGUGUAUGAAGAAGGCCUUAGGGUUGUAAAGUACUUUCAGUGGGGAGGCGUUACCCGCAGAAGAAGCACCGGCUAACUCCGUGCCAGCCGCCGCGGUAAUAC
This 406-nucleotide ribosomal RNA is filed under the name uncultured bacterium. RNAcentral describes it as "partial 16S ribosomal RNA". It matches the Rfam family "Bacterial small subunit ribosomal RNA", at positions 30 to 526 of the family's 1533-position model. The record is from RNAcentral.